This is a long non-coding RNA of Populus nigra (black poplar), 1889 nucleotides long. RefSeq lists it as uncharacterized. The record is from RefSeq and is a predicted model, not a curated record. The transcript is spliced from 2 exons. Lineage: Eukaryota; Viridiplantae; Streptophyta; Magnoliopsida; Malpighiales; Salicaceae.
ACUAGUGGUGGCCCGGCUCGGUAGAGGUUUUGAUGCUUUGGUUGCUGUGUAGUCGGGCUUCUGCAAGAAGAUUAUGAUAUAAGAUGCAAGUCAGCAGGUCUCCAAGGUUCAAGGUCUAACCCAGCAAGGCUCGAGAAACUGUCAAAAGAAACUGAUGCCCUCAUUUUCCAAUCAGUAAAAAAACAAAACUUUGGAGGAUGUGAAAGUAGGUGGAUUAAAGAGAUUCCUCAUCUAUCAAGUUGUUAUUAUCUUAAGAGGAGGGGUUUUGAAUGGAAGUAAAAAACAAAGUGUUGUGGUCAAUGUACACUUGUAGUAUGGAUAUUGCCCCGUAAAUCUUGGUUGAUGGUGAUAUUUGCUGCUUCAGGAUGAGAUAAAACAAGAACAGGCGGGAUUAUGUGAAAGGUUAAAUGGGAAAAUGUCAAAAACAUGUAGCGUCAUCAUAUAGCUGAUUCCAUCUCAUGGCUAGUGAGUGACCCACUAUAGAGAGAGAGGUCCCUCUCCCACUCAUAAAGUCCGUCCAAAUCAAUGAGUUGGAGAGCCACAUGCAGUGUAAUGAAGAGGCUGCCUUUGCAUGAGAAAGAGACAAUAUGCCAGACGAGAUUUAAUUUGGGCACAGAAUUUCACCAACUCGAAAUAGAACUCCAAAUAAAAUUGUUACGUGACAUUUGCUUGUUAACUAAUAUAUAUGUUGUGGGUUGCUGAUCCAGAAAGAGACAAUUAUCUGGUUAAUUAGCAGCGACAUAAAGGAAAUUGAAUUUGGUUCUGUUUAAUGGUAUGGCAGUUCGAUGGUUAUGUGGCCAAAGGUAGUAGGCUGGCUUGCAAUGCAGGAGAAUGUCUUUUUCCAUGCUUAAAAGACGAAACUGAUUGGAACUUGAGAAAUUGUUAUUUAGAAUGGUGAUCUCUUCUUUGUUAACAGGAUAUGCACUGCAGCACAAUGUGGCCCAAACUCAUGAGAUGAUCAAAGGCAUAUGCUGUACCGACAUUUCAAACUCUUUUAUUCCAUGGAACAUGUUUUCAGCUUCUGAUGAUAUUUAUAGCGAUCGCAUCAUAGAUUCCUUAACACGGCUGCUGUGCAUGAGCAAGGUCAUGAUCACCUGCUGUGACUUGUCAGAUUUCUCUGCCUGCACUCUUGUCAAGUACAGUGCUAAUGUCGGUAAUUUGCUACCAUGUUAACAUCUAAAGGAUUAUGACAAAUCAUUAUCAUGUGAAGGUCAAUGAUCUCUGGCCCUUCCUUUGUUCUCAGCCUUGUUCUCUUCCAGUUGGCCCAAAAUAUUAUUUUGUUCUUAUGAUCAUCUCCCUCCCUGCUUCAUUUGACCUUAUAUGAAUUCUGAGAUUAAUAUAAAGGUCAGGUGCACUGUUGUUUUAUAAGCUGAAAUAAAUAUACCCUGUUGGACCAGAAAUUGUUAUUAUCUGAAAUAAUUAGUAUCCAUCAAUACACAGAAAUCAUUAAGUUCUUAAUUCUGAUUUCAUGGCAAGCAUCGCAGUGAGGAUUUAAACGUCAUCUGCUUGUUCGAAUUCUGUUUCCAUAUCUGGAGGAGGAUUAGACUCCAUGUUGUUGUGAUGCGGCAAGGGAUGCGUGAAUUGGGCAAACCACACAGCUUCAACAGCCACUCACAUUCCCAGGUGUUAGUCAUCUACAUCCCUGCAGUCCACUUGUGCUAUUCACCAGCCUUUGAGGGCAGUUACAUGUCAAACCUUGUCAUAAUACAAAUUACAGCAUACCCUUUGAGAGAGAGGCAAAAGAAAGCAAGGAGGAUAAUGGCAGAUACCAGAGGAGUACCGUGGGUUGCAAUGAUGGGUGUGGAUGUCCUGUUCCUUGCGCUGGUGGCACAUCCUGCGGGUCUCGAUAGUUGCCAUGAUUUAAUAAAAAAAUUUUCUCUGUUUUGUUU